UACGUAGGGGGCAAGCGUUGUCCGGAUUUAUUGGGCGUAAAGAGCGUGUAGGCGGCCAGGUAGGUCUGCUGUGAAAACUCGAGGCUCAACCUCGAGACGUCGGUUGAAACCACCUGGCUAGAGUCCGGAAGAGGAGUGUGGAAUUCCCGGUGUAGCGGUGGAAUGCGCAGAUAUCGGGAGGAACACCCGUGGCGAAGGCGGCGCUCUGGGACGGUACUGACGCUGAGACGCGAAAGCGUGGGGAGCAAACAGG
This 253-nucleotide ribosomal RNA is filed under the name uncultured bacterium. RNAcentral's name for it is "partial 16S ribosomal RNA". It matches the Rfam family "Bacterial small subunit ribosomal RNA", at positions 524 to 776 of the family's 1533-position model. The record is from RNAcentral.